AUGGACAAUGUGAAGACUACUAUCUCACUCAUGUCCUACGUUCCAGAGUCACCAAGAAAUCCCACCAUCUACCCACUGAGCCUCCCACUGUCGGUGUCAAGCGACCCAGUGAUAAUGGGUUGCCUGAUUAAGGAUUACUUCCCAUCUGGAACUAUGAAAGUGACCUGGGACAAGAGUGGGGAUGAUGUAACCACCAUAAACUUCCCACCUGUCCUGGGCUCUGGGGGCCGGUACACCAUGAGCAGCCAGUUGACCCUGCCAGCUGAAAAGUGCCCAAAUGAAACAUCUGUGACAUGCUCCGUACAGCACAACUCUAGCCCUGUCCAAACCAUGGAAGUGCCCUGCCCAUCUGACACAGAAAGAGAAAAUAUACUGAUCUGCUUAAACUUCUCAUUUAUACCAGACUGUUCCCCAAACUGCCAUGCCCACCUGUCACUGAUCCAGCCAGCUCUUGAGGAUCUGCUCCUGGGUUCAGAUGCCAGCAUCACAUGUACCCUGGGUGGCCUGAGAAAGCCUGAAGGAGCCGUUUUUACCUGGAAGCCCAGCACUGGGAAGGAUGCAGUGCAGAAGGCCCCUGUGCAGGACUCCUGUGGCUGCUACAGUGUGUCCAGCAUUCUGCCAGGUGCCGCUGAGCAAUGGAACAAUGCGGAGACCUUCACGUGCACAGUCACUCACCCUGAGGCUGGGACCUUAAGUGGCACAAUUGCCAAAGUCACAGAGAACACCUUCCCACCUCAGGUCCACCUGCUGCCGCCGCCGUCGGAGGAGCUGGCCCUAAAUGAGAUGGUGUCCCUGACAUGCCUGGUGCGAGGAUUUAACCCUAAAGACGUGCUAAUACGUUGGCAGCAUGGAAACCAGGAACUACCCACUGAAAGCUACCUAGUGUACGAACCCUUGAAGGAGCCAAACGAAGGCCCCUCCACCUACUCAGUGACCAGUGUUCUGCGUGUGUCAGCAGAAAGCUGGAGACAGGGUGACCAGUACACCUGCACGGUGGGCCACGAGGCCCUGCCCAUGAAAUUCACCCAGAAGACCAUCGACCGUCAGUCGGGUAAACCCACCAACGUCAACGUGUCUGUGAUUAUGUCAGAGGCAGAUGGCGUCUGCUACUGAGCCACCCUACCUGCCUCUAUUCUUUAAAUAAACUCUGUGCUCAUC
Molecule: non-coding RNA, 1158 nt
Organism: Acomys russatus (golden spiny mouse)
Lineage: Eukaryota; Metazoa; Chordata; Mammalia; Rodentia; Muridae
Source: the annotation of a RefSeq genome assembly